RNAcentral lists this ribosomal RNA (243 nucleotides) under Escherichia coli. RNAcentral describes it as "partial 16S ribosomal RNA". It matches the Rfam family "Bacterial small subunit ribosomal RNA", at positions 993 to 1236 of the family's 1533-position model. Lineage: Bacteria; Pseudomonadati; Pseudomonadota; Gammaproteobacteria; Enterobacterales; Enterobacteriaceae. The record is from RNAcentral.
GAACUUUCCAGAGAUGGAUUGGUGCCUUCGGGAACUGUGAGACAGGUGCUGCAUGGCUGUCGUCAGCUCGUGUUGUGAAAUGUUGGGUUAAGUCCCGCAACGAGCGCAACCCUUAUCCUUUGUUGCCAGCGGUCCGGCCGGGAACUCAAAGGAGACUGCCAGUGAUAAACUGGAGGAAGGUGGGGAUGACGUCAAGUCAUCAUGGCCCUUACGACCAGGGCUACACACGUGCUACAAUGGCGC